GGGGCUAUAGCUCAGUUGGUAGAGCGUUUGCAUGGCAUGCAAGAGGCCGGCGGUUCGACCCCGCCUAGCUCCACCA
RNAcentral lists this transfer RNA (76 nucleotides) under Gammaproteobacteria bacterium RIFCSPHIGHO2_02_FULL_38_33. RNAcentral's name for it is "tRNA-Ala". It matches the Rfam family "tRNA". From Rfam's summary of the family: Transfer RNA (tRNA) molecules are approximately 80 nucleotides in length. Their secondary structure includes four short double-helical elements and three loops (D, anti-codon, and T loops). Lineage: Bacteria; Pseudomonadati; Pseudomonadota; Gammaproteobacteria. The record is from RNAcentral.